RNAcentral lists this transfer RNA (66 nucleotides) under Tipula varipennis. Its description in RNAcentral is "tRNA-Phe". It matches the Rfam family "tRNA". From Rfam's summary of the family: Transfer RNA (tRNA) molecules are approximately 80 nucleotides in length. The record is from RNAcentral. Lineage: Eukaryota; Metazoa; Arthropoda; Insecta; Diptera; Tipulidae.
AUUCAAAUAGCUUAUAUUUAGAGUAUAACAUUGAAGAUGUUGUGGAGAUUGUUAAAUCUUUGAAUA